Molecule: ribosomal RNA, 492 nt
Filed under: uncultured bacterium
Lineage: Bacteria
Description: partial 16S ribosomal RNA
Rfam family: Bacterial small subunit ribosomal RNA
Source: RNAcentral
AGUGAACGCUGGCGGUAGGCCUAACACAUGCAAGUCGAACGGCAGCACAGUAAGAGCUUGCUCUUACGGGUGGCGAGUGGCGGACGGGUGAGGAAUACAUCGGAAUCUACUUUUUCGUGGGGGAUAACGUAGGGAAACUUACGCUAAUACCGCAUACGACCUACGGGUGAAAGCAGGGGAUCUUCGGACCUUGCGCGAUUGAAUGAGCCGAUGUCGGAUUGGCUAGUUGGCGGGGGAAAGGCCCACCAAGGCGACGAUGCGUAGCUGGUCUGAGAGGAUGAGCAGGCACACUGGAACUGAGACACGGUCCAGACUCCUACGGGCGGCAGCAGUGGGGAAUAUUGGACAAUGGGCGCAAGCCUGAUCCAGCCAUACCGCGUGGGUGAAGAAGGCCUUCGGGUUGUAAAGCCCUUUUGUUGGGAAAGAAAAGCAGCAGGUUAAUACCCCGCUGUUCUGACGGUACCCAAAGAAGAAGCACCGGCUAACUUCGUG